GACGAACGCUGGCGGCGUGCUUAACACAUGCAAGUCGAACGAAGAGCGAUGGAAGCUUGCCUCUAUCAAUCUUAGUGGCGAACGGGUGAGUAACGCGUAAUCAACCUGCCCUUCAGAGGGGGACAACAGUUGGAAACGACUGCUAAUACCGCAUACGAUCCAAUCUCGGCAUCGAGACUGGAUGAAAGGUGGCCUCUAUUUAUAAGCUAUCACUGAAGGAGGGGAUUGCGUCUGAUUAGCUAGUUGGAGGGGUAACGGCCCACCAAGGCGAUGAUCAGUAGCCGGUCUGAGAGGAUGAACGGCCACAUUGGGGCUGAGACACGGCCCAGACUCCUACGGGAGGCAGCAGUGGGGAAUCUUCCGCAAUGGACGAAAGUCUGACGGAGCAACGCCGCGUGAGUGAUGACGGCCUUCGGGUUGUAAAGCUCUGUUAAUCGGGACGAAUGGUUCUUGUGCGAAUAGUGCGAGGAUUUGACGGUACCGGAAUAGAAAGCC
Molecule: ribosomal RNA, 495 nt
Filed under: Veillonella atypica
Lineage: Bacteria; Bacillati; Bacillota; Negativicutes; Veillonellales; Veillonellaceae
Description: bacterial SSU rRNA
Rfam family: Bacterial small subunit ribosomal RNA
Source: RNAcentral